Molecule: ribosomal RNA, 407 nt
Filed under: uncultured bacterium
Lineage: Bacteria
Description: partial 16S ribosomal RNA
Rfam family: Bacterial small subunit ribosomal RNA
Source: RNAcentral
GACGAACGCUGGCGGCGUGCCUAAUACAUGCAAGUAGAACGCAGUUGCGAACGGGUGAGUAACGCGUAGGUAACUGCCUCAUAGCGGGGGAUAACUAUUGGGAACGAUAGCUAAUACCGCAUACUGUGAGAUGGACCUGCGUUGUAUUAGCUAGUUGGUGAGGUAAAGGCUCACCAAGGCGACGAUACAUAGCCGAGCUGAGAGGGUUGUCGGGAACACCGGGAAUUAGAACAGGCCCAGACUCCCACGGGGAGGAGGAGUAGGGAAAUUUUGGACAAUGACGGAAGUCCUACCGCGCAACGCCGGGGUAGUGAAGAAGGGUUUCGGGUCGUUAAGCUCCGUUGUUAGAGAAGCGGUACCUAACCAGAAAGCGACGGCUAACUACGUGCCAGCAGCCGCGGUAAUAC